GGCCUAAUGGUCUAGUAGUAUGAUUCUUCCUUCGGGUUCUCCGCAACCCGCGCUGGAGGCGCGGGUGUUCAAACCCGCGUCGUGACCCGACGCGUCAGAUGGAAGAGGUCCUGGGUUCAAUUCCCAGUUAGGCCC
Non-coding RNA from Schizophyllum amplum, 135 nucleotides. The record is from the annotation of a GenBank genome assembly. Lineage: Eukaryota; Fungi; Basidiomycota; Agaricomycetes; Agaricales; Schizophyllaceae.